This 479-nucleotide ribosomal RNA is filed under the name uncultured organism. RNAcentral describes it as "partial 16S ribosomal RNA". It matches the Rfam family "Bacterial small subunit ribosomal RNA", at positions 330 to 800 of the family's 1533-position model. The record is from RNAcentral.
CGUACACUCCUGCGGGAGGCAGCAGUGGGGAAUAUUGCACAAUGGGCGCAAGCCUGAUGCAGCCAUGCCGCGUGUAUGAAGAAGGCCUUCGGGUUGUAAAGUACUUUCAGCGGGGAGGAAGGCAAUACGGUUAAUAACCGUGUUGAUUGACGUUACCCGCAGAAGAAGCACCGGCUAACUCCGUGCCAGCAGCCGCGGUAAUACGGAGGGUGCAAGCGUUAAUCGGAAUUACUGGGCGUAAAGCGCACGCAGGCGGUCUGUCAAGUCGGAUGUGAAAUCCCCGGGCUCAACCUGGGAACUGCAUUCGAAACUGGCAGGCUUGAGUCUUGUAGAGGGGGGUAGAAUUCCAGGUGUAGCGGUGAAAUGCGUAGAGAUCUGGAGGAAUACCGGUGGCGAAGGCGGCCCCCUGGACAAAGACUGACGCUCAGGUGCGAAAGCGUGGGGAGCAAACAGGAUUAGAUACCCCUGUAGUCCCAUGA